CUCCCUCUUCAUGCACAUCGCCGCGGUUGAAAGAGAUAAAGACAAUUGCUGAAGAAGAUAAGAGAUGUUUAAGCUCCGUGUAAUUGUUGCCGCAAUUGUAUGCCUACAAUUGCAUGCGUUUACAUAUCCAAGAAAGCUCCAUAAAUCCUUUUGGAAUUACAACAACGAGAAUACUGUGAUGUACAGAGUUGAUGCACAACAUAAGCGGAUAUAUCUUCCAAUCUGCAAGAUAGACUGCAG
RNAcentral lists this unclassified non-coding RNA (240 nucleotides) under Dendronephthya gigantea. RNAcentral's name for it is "uncharacterized LOC114534009, transcript variant X1". Lineage: Eukaryota; Metazoa; Cnidaria; Anthozoa; Malacalcyonacea; Nephtheidae. The record is from RNAcentral.